This 497-nucleotide ribosomal RNA is filed under the name uncultured bacterium. RNAcentral describes it as "partial 16S ribosomal RNA". It matches the Rfam family "Bacterial small subunit ribosomal RNA", at positions 28 to 507 of the family's 1533-position model. The record is from RNAcentral.
GAUGAACGCUGGCGGCGUGCCUAAUACAUGCAAGUCGAGCGAACAGACGAGGAGCUUUCUCCUCUGACGUUAGCGGCUGACGGGUGAGUAACACGUGGAUAACCUACCUAUAAGACUGGGAUAACUUCGUGAAACCGGAGCUAAUACCGGAUAAUAUAUUGAACCGCAUGGUUCAAUAGUGAAAGACGGUUUUGCUGUCACUUAUAGAUGGAUCCGCGCCGCAUUAGCUAGUUGGUAAGGUAACGGCUUACCAAGGCAACGAUGCGUAGCCGACCUGAGAGGGUGAUCGGCCACACUGGAACUGAGACACGGUCCAGACUCCUACGGGAGGCAGCAGUAGGGAAUCUUCCGCAAUGGGCGAAAGCCUGACGGAGCAACGCCGCGUGAGUGAUGAAGGUCUUCGGAUCGUAAAACCCUGUUAUUAGGGAAGAACAAAUGUGUAAGUAACUAUGCACGUCUUGACGGUACCUAAUAAGAAAGCAACGGCUAACUACGUG